Molecule: ribosomal RNA, 756 nt
Filed under: uncultured bacterium
Lineage: Bacteria
Description: bacterial SSU rRNA
Rfam family: Bacterial small subunit ribosomal RNA
Source: RNAcentral
AUUGAACGCUGGCGGCAGGCUUAACACAUGCAAGUCGAACGGUAACGGGUUGAAAGCUUGCUUUCAAUGCUGACGAGUGGCGGACGGGUGAGUAAGGCUUGGGGAUCUGGCUUUUGGAGGGGGAUAACCAUUGGAAACGAUGGCUAAUACCGCAUAGUAUCGAGAGAUGAAAGGGGUGGGAAACCACUUGCCAAGGGAUGAACCCAAGUGAGAUUAGGUAGUUGGUGGGGUAAAGGCCUACCAAGCCGACGAUCUCUAGCUGGUCUGAGAGGAUGGCCAGCCACACUGGGACUGAGACACGGCCCAGACUCCUACGGGAGGCAGCAGUGGGGAAUAUUGCGCAAUGGGGGGAACCCUGACGCAGCCAUGCCGCGUGAAUGAAGAAGGCCUUCGGGUUGUAAAGUUCUUUCGGUGGUGAGGAAGGUGGUAGUGUUAAUAGCGCUAUUGUUUGACGUUAGCCACAGAAGAAGCACCGGCUAACUCCGUGCCAGCAGCCGCGGUAAUACGGAGGGUGCGAGCGUUAAUCGGAAUAACUGGGCGUAAAGGGCACGCAGGCGGGACGUUAAGUGAGAUGUGAAAGCCCCGGGCUUAACCUGGGAACAGCAUUUCAUACUGGCGUACUAGAGUACUUUAGGGAGGGGUAGAAUUCCACGUGUAGCGGUGAAAUGCGUAGAGAUGUGGAGGAAUACCGAAGGCGAAGGCAGCCCCUUGGGAAGAUACUGACGCUCAUGUGCANAAGCGUGGGGAGCAAACAGG